AACACAAAUCUCGACAAGGGAUAUCUCGACUCUCGCCAUGAUGAAGAAUGUAGUGAAAUAUGAUACUGAGUGUGACUUGUAGAAUCCCAUGAAUCAUCGAGUCUUUGAACAUAAGUUACACUUAAGGCUCCAGCUGAGGGCACGUCUACGUGGGCGUCAUAG
RNAcentral lists this ribosomal RNA (162 nucleotides) under Taiwania flousiana. RNAcentral's name for it is "5.8S ribosomal RNA". It matches the Rfam family "5.8S ribosomal RNA". From Rfam's summary of the family: 5.8S ribosomal RNA (5.8S rRNA) is a component of the large subunit of the eukaryotic ribosome. It is transcribed by RNA polymerase I as part of the 45S precursor that also contains 18S and 28S rRNA. The record is from RNAcentral. Lineage: Eukaryota; Viridiplantae; Streptophyta; Pinopsida; Cupressales; Cupressaceae.